Molecule: ribosomal RNA, 462 nt
Filed under: uncultured bacterium
Lineage: Bacteria
Description: bacterial SSU rRNA
Rfam family: Bacterial small subunit ribosomal RNA
Source: RNAcentral
ACUCCUACGGGAGGCAGCAGUGGGAAUCUUGCGCAAUGGGCGGAAGCCUGACGCAGCAACGCCGCGUGAGGGAUGACGGCCUUCGGGUUGUAAACCUCUUUCGCGAUCGACGAAGGCCCGUCUUGUGGGCGGGUUGACGGUAGGUCGAGAAGAAGCACCGGCCAACUACGUGCCAGCAGCCGCGGUAAUACGUAGGGUGCGAGCGUUGUCCGGAAUUAUUGGCGUAAAGAGCUCGUAGGCGGUGUGUCACGUCGGCCGUGAAAACCUGGGGCUUAACUCUGGGCGUGCGGUCGAUACGGGCAUCACUAGAGUUCGGCAGGGAGACUGGAAUUCCUGGUGUAGCGGUGAAAUGCGCAGAUAUCAGGAGGAACACCGGUGGCGAAGGCGGGUCUCUGGGCCGAUACUGACGCUGAGGAGCGAAAGCAUGGGUAGCGAACAGGAUUAGAUACCCUGUAGGCUCUG